This 253-nucleotide ribosomal RNA is filed under the name uncultured bacterium. RNAcentral describes it as "partial 16S ribosomal RNA". It matches the Rfam family "Bacterial small subunit ribosomal RNA", at positions 524 to 776 of the family's 1533-position model. The record is from RNAcentral.
UACGGAGGGGGCGAGCGCUAUUCGGAAUUAUUGGGCGUAAAGGGCGCGUAGGCGGCUGUACAAGUCAAAGGUGAAAUCCCUCGGCUCAACUGAGGAACUGCCUUUGAAACUGUACGGCUUGAGGCCGGGAGGGGGUAGCGGAAUUCCCAGUGUAGCGGUGAAAUGCGUAGAUAUUGGGAGGAACACCCGUGGCGAAGGCGGCUCUCUGGGACGGUACUGACGCUGAGACGCGAAAGCGUGGGGAGCGAACAGG